GGCAAAAGCUCAAAUUUGAAAUCUGGUACCUUCGGUGCCCGAGUUGUAAUUUGGAGAGGGCAACUUUGGGGCCGUUCCUUGUCUAUGUUCCUUGGAACAGGACGUCAUAGAGGGUGAGAAUCCCGUGUGGCGAGGAGUGCGGUUCUUUGUAAAGUGCCUUCGAAGAGUCGAGUUGUUUGGGAAUGCAGCUCUAAGUGGGUGGUAAAUUCCAUCUAAAGCUAAAUAUUGGCGAGAGACCGAUAGCGAACAAGUACAGUGAUGGAAAGAUGAAAAGAACUUUGAAAAGAGAGUGAAAAAGUACGUGAAAUUGUUGAAAGGGAAGGGCAUUUGAUCAGACAUGGUGUUUUGUGCCCUCUGCUCCUUGUGGGUAGGGGAAUCUCGCAUUUCACUGGGCCAGCAUCAGUUUUGGUGGCAGGAUAAAUCCAUAGGAAUGUAGCUUGCCUCGGUAAGUAUUAUAGCCUGUGGGAAUACUGCCAGCUGGGACUGAGGACUGCGACGUAAGUCAAGGAUGCUGGCAUAAUGGUUAUAUGCCGCCCGUCUUGAACC
RNAcentral lists this ribosomal RNA (546 nucleotides) under Saccharomyces cerevisiae (brewer's yeast). RNAcentral's name for it is "eukaryotic LSU rRNA". It matches the Rfam family "Eukaryotic large subunit ribosomal RNA", at positions 100 to 660 of the family's 3401-position model. Lineage: Eukaryota; Fungi; Ascomycota; Saccharomycetes; Saccharomycetales; Saccharomycetaceae. The record is from RNAcentral.